RNAcentral lists this ribosomal RNA (507 nucleotides) under uncultured Sphingobacteriales bacterium. RNAcentral describes it as "bacterial SSU rRNA". It matches the Rfam family "Bacterial small subunit ribosomal RNA", at positions 903 to 1382 of the family's 1533-position model. The record is from RNAcentral. Lineage: Bacteria; Pseudomonadati; Bacteroidota; Sphingobacteriia; Sphingobacteriales.
CGCCUUGCCAGCCCGCUCAGAAACUUAAAGGAAGUUGACGGGGGCCCGCACAAGACGGAGGAGCAUGUGGUUUAAUUCGAUGAUACGCGAGGAACCUUACCUGGGCUCGAACGUAAGAUGACUGUAGGUGAAAGCUUACAUCUCUUCGGAGCAUUUUACGAGGUGCUGCAUGGUUGUCGUCAGCUCGUGCCGUGAGGUGUCGGGUUAAGUCCCAUAACGAGCGCAACCCCUACCUUUAGUUGCCAUCAGGUUAAGCUGGGGACUCUAAAGGAACUGCCUACGCAAGUAGUGAGGAAGGCGGGGAUGACGUCAAAUCAGCACGGCCCUUACGUCCAGGGCUACACACGUGCUACAAUGGCCGAUACAGAGGGCAGCUACCUGGUGACAGGAUGCAAAUCUCCAAAGUCGGUCUCAGUUCGGAUCGGAGUCUGCAACCCGACUCCGUGAAGUUGGAUUCGCUAGUAAUCGCGCAUCAGCCAUGGCGCGGUGAAUACGUUCCCGGGCCUU